AAAUCACUCCCCAAAUAUACAAAGAAAAUCGAUAGCAAAAAACAGGAAAAAAACCGUAAUAGAGAAAACAAAAACGGGGUUUUUAUUGUGUAUUUGUAUAUUGUAUUUGGUUUUGUAUACUUUUUUUCCUGUCUGUU
Molecule: non-coding RNA, 137 nt
Filed under: Pteridomonas danica
Lineage: Eukaryota; Dictyochophyceae; Pedinellales
Source: RNAcentral